CUUUCCGCAACAAUUUCAUUCAACUGCUUUCCUCGUCCCUCGAGUCCUUUCCAUAGUCACAGCACACGCUGUGUGUCUUUCGCGUUUCAGACAGAAACAGGAUUAGCCGCUCCGAUCUGCUUUUCCGUGUCAGUCCAUGCGUUUAAAGCGUUGUCCGCAGGAUGUAUUUUGGUUUGGUGCUUGAAAGAGCAAUCGUGGCGUUGUGCCAAGAUGUUGCUCUAGUCGGCCAUCGCUUCCUUCGAAUUGUCAAGGCUCCUGAAGCAACAGUUCUGGCUGGUCGUUGAUUCCGCCUGAAUUUAGAAGCGGAGCCCUGGUGCUUAGUUUUACUUCCACCCACCGAUUCUUUUCACCCUCCCAGUGGUUGUGUGUGAUGGGACACUUCGGUUUCCUCCAUUCCUUUCAAUUUUGACUUUUUUGCCUGUUCGCACGUGGACGUAUCGAGGCACUCUUACUUUCUUUGAAGCCUUUCGUCGGCGAUUAUUACACAGUUCACUGAGAACCUCUCUUUAGGCUACAAAACUGUAGGGAAUCUGUGCUUCCAGCUGAUCACGCACCGUGUGAUUGAUGUAUCGACGUUCCAAGCGAAGAUAUCAUUUGAGCGCGUCUGUCAUGUCUGAUGUAGUAGUGAUCACAAUAUAUACUGACCAUUCGACUUGUUACGCAUGUAAUAUGAACAGAUCUUAACAGCUCUUUCAGAGCAGACACUUUGUGACAUGUCAAUUGGAGGUAUAAGUGACUAAAUUGGUACUGCCUCUGUGGUGCUAAAGCUCCCGGAUGAUAAGCCGUGUAGUGCUCGCUAAAAGUUUUUUUGUGUUCGCUUAGUGAACGAUCUCGCUGUUGUUUUCAAGAUCGGUGUCUUCAAUCAGUCGUAGUCAGGUUAGGCGAAUCUGGUAAGCCGUAGUCAGUGCCCCUCCGUGGUUUUCCUUUGAAUCGUCAGGUCUGCCAGAGGGGGCUUGGUGAGGUUCCAUACUGGAGAUUUUGGUUGCUAUCUUCUGCCUGCCCGAAUCCCUUUGAGCGCGGUUUGAGUGAUGUUGCUCGAUAUUGAAUUUGGAUCAUCGGGUGUUUCGUGUGUUGAUGUAUGUGGCUUGUCUUUGACUUUUAACCUCAUCACGUUAGCGUUUAUACCACGCCUGACAUAUUUCUGCGAUAUUUUUUCAUUUUUUUAUUUUUAUUUAAUAAAUAAUUUCUGAUGUCGAAACUAUCUAUGCUUGAGAUAGAUCACGUCAAGACCAACUUAGUUUCAAUUGGCUAAUUGCCUGGCGGUUUACGAUAACAAGAUAUGUAAAUCACUCCAUAGGGGUGGAGGUUAUCUUGUCACGAAGAGUUCUUAGUUCUCCAUGCUUCUCUAACGUUGCAUGGAGUCUAUGUCUGGACCUCCUCCAUUUGCUCUUUCAAGAGAAUGUGAGAAUUUCGAGAUUCGGACAUAGCCUUCAUGCAUGCUAGAGUAGAAUGGAAUCUCCUGAUCCUCUUGGAACUAGCAUUUUCGUUACAAGCGAAGGCCGUCAUACUGCUUGAUGUGUCAACCACCGUCUGCAUGACUGAGUAUUCCCUCAUGGAAUUCAAUUUUUACUGGAUUAGGGAAUGUGACGAUUGUGUGCAGUUAACUCCGUAUUCUGUUUGUUGACAGUUUCUAAACUAUGAAAGGACGGUGGGUAAGAGUUGGGAUCCUAACAAUGAAGUUGAAAUGUACAAUCGAAGUAUGAUAUUACCUUUUGAUUAUUCCUCAGAAAGUUUGCUAGAACACCAGGAUUCUACUGUUUAGGAACAGUUCUGUGUAUUAUUAUCCUGCUAUCAGUAAACUAGUUCAGUGUAUUUAAUUGCUUGGGAUAGACUAAAUGUGCUUGAUUAUGCAGGUGCCAAUAUACAUGAAGAGUCGAGCGAUCAACCAUCUCUCUCAACAGUUAUUCGAAUCCCACUUUGGUCUCUUUGUAAUGUGGUAAACCUCGUUACAAAGCUUGUUCCCUCAAGAUAUUCUUUCUUUUGGACAGGUUGACUAAAAUUAUGCAGGUCUGGCGUCUAGUUUGUCGCUAAAUCGAGUGACUGAAAGGGCUGGUGAAUUCUGACCCGGAGAACUGCACUUACCAUCUCCGCUUGGUACUGUUGCGACCUGAACACGUGGUACAUGUGUAUCUGUCAGGCAGUAACGCUGUAGUUGAUCUUGGUAAGGCUUCCGUAUGUCGUUUACUUAACGCCUGACCUGUGAAAUGCACCAUCGGCCACAAUUCAUGGUCCUAACCAGCGUAAUGAAUGAUUUGAUGUAUGUAAAUGGAAUGGAGUUCUCAGUAUCCGCUCCAUUACAUUCAGCUUAUCAUGUCAAUGAGUUCCCUUCAAUUGUUCGUAAAGCUGUUGCCGUGAUAACGGAUUGUAAACCCAGUACAUGGAACAUAGAUUGGCACACCGUGUACUUGCUGGAAUGACUUCUUUGUCUUUUGAUCUUUAAGACGCAAUUUUUGUUUUCGCUGCAAUGAAUGCGAGCAUCCCUUUAGCUCAGACACAUGGACUUGUGGUAAAGAGAUGAUCAAGUGCAGCGCAAUCAGUUUCCAUUGCUGUUUUAAGGUCAUGCUUUACUGCGUGCAGACAGGGUACAGGCAUUGCUUGCUGUCAAUCUUUUGGUGUGACACAACCACUGGUUUAUUCCUAUUAUUGAUCUGACCACCGACUGCUAAGUCUUAAAAUUGCCACGUCGAUCAACAGCUCUGAAUCUAUCAAUUUCCUUCUACUGUGCACUGUAGGAAUCGAAGUUGCAUAUGUUCCUAGUAGCCAUGUGGAAGUAGAUUUCUUAAUCAGCAUCUAUCAAAGCGGAGUGUAGAUUUUUCAUGCUCCUUAGAAAGUUGUAUCUGUGGUACAAACCAUUGAUAUUUUUACAUUAAAGCUGUAUUUACCAGCUGAAAGCCAUGUACAUCGUCUUAAUAAACCUUUUCGGUACGAUCACAAUGUUAUUGUUUUCUUUA
Molecule: non-coding RNA, 2951 nt
Organism: Physcomitrium patens
Lineage: Eukaryota; Viridiplantae; Streptophyta; Bryopsida; Funariales; Funariaceae
Source: RefSeq, a predicted model, not a curated record